GAUGAACGCUAGCGGGAGGCUUAACACAUGCAAGUCGAGGGGCAUCACGAGGUAGCAAUACUUUGGUGGCGACCGGCGCACGGGUGAGUAACACGUAUGCAACCUUCCCUGUACAGGGGGAUAACCCGGAGAAAUUCGGACUAAUACCCCAUGAUGAUAUUUAUGGGCAUCCAUUGAUAUUUAAAGCUCUGGCGGUACAGGAUGGGCAUGCGCGACAUUAGCUAGUUGGUAAGGUAACGGCUUACCAAGGCUACGAUGUUUAGGGGACCUGAGAGGGUUGUCCCCCACACUGGUACUGAGACACGGACCAGACUCCUACGGGAGGCAGCAGUGAGGAAUAUUGGUCAAUGGGCGCAAGCCUGAACCAGCCAUCCCGCGUGAAGGAAGAAUGCGCUACGCGUUGUAAACUUCUUUUCCAGGGGGAGAAUUUUCCUGUCGAGACAGGGAUUGACGGUACCCUGGGAAUAAGCAUCGGCUAACUCCGUG
This 486-nucleotide ribosomal RNA is filed under the name uncultured bacterium. Its description in RNAcentral is "bacterial SSU rRNA". It matches the Rfam family "Bacterial small subunit ribosomal RNA", at positions 28 to 507 of the family's 1533-position model. The record is from RNAcentral.